GAUGAACGCUGGCGGCGUGCCUAAUACAUGCGAGUCGAGCGAAUGGAUUAAGAGCUUGCUCUUAUGAAGUUAGCGGCGGACGGGUGAGUAACACGUGGGUAACCUGCCCAUAAGACUGGGAUAACUCCGGGAAACCGGGGCUAAUACCGGAUAAUAUUUUGAACUGCAUGGUUCAAAAUUGAAAGGCGGCUUCGGCUGUCACUUAUGGAUGGACCCGGGUCGCAUUAGCUAGUUGGUGAGGUAACGGCUCACCAAGGCAACGAUGCGUAGCCGACCUGAGAGGGUGAUCGGCCACACUGGGACUGAGACACGGCCCAGACUCCUACGGGAGGCAGCAGUAGGGAAUCUUCCGCAAUGGACGAAAGUCUGACGGAGCAACGCCGCGUGAGUGAUGAAGGCUUUCGGGUCGUAAAACUCUGUUGUUAGGGAAGAACAAGUGCUAGUUGAAUAAGCUGGCACCUUGACGGUACCUAGCCAGAAAGCCACGGCUAACUACGUGCCAGCCGCCGCAGUAA
RNAcentral lists this ribosomal RNA (515 nucleotides) under uncultured bacterium. RNAcentral's name for it is "partial 16S ribosomal RNA". It matches the Rfam family "Bacterial small subunit ribosomal RNA", at positions 28 to 523 of the family's 1533-position model. The record is from RNAcentral.